GCAAGAUCCAAAAGUGGUGCAAUAGACAAAAGAAGAGUUUGAUAGGCACUAAUUCAGAAAAUAGGUUAGCUGACUGAAACAUUAAACAACAAAUCCAAAGUGGUGUCAGAGUCAAGAAAAUAAGUUAGACAUAACGUAGAAAGUACCUCGUAAAUGGGGAAACACUUAUCUCAACAACCGAAAAUCCAAUCUUCCCUAUAUUUGUUGUUAUACCCCAACGGGGUUUCAGAAAUAAGCUACAUCUUGUACAAACAUUGGACAAAAAAAUUCCUAAAUGGUUUGAGAAUCUAGAAUAGAAGGUAGAAACAAUGUACAAAAGUGAGAAUAUCUCUUAAACAGGGAAAAUUCAUCUCAACAAUCAAAAAUCCAAUCUUCCCACCGGUCUUUUUCUCUUCCUUCCCAUUUGAUUAAAGACUCCUAACCUCCUACAAGUUCAGCUGCCAUAUUAUAACAAUUACCUCUUCACUUGUUACAAGUGUUUCCCCAUUACAGUCCCAAAAGAGUCUCCAUGGCUUCACAUGCAUAGACAUAAUAACUGAAGCCUCUAAAUAUCAUAAGAUUACGCUCAAGGGUAAAUUAUUGAACAACCAGUGAAAAACAUCAUGGUAAUUUUUCAGCUUCUGAUUAUUUGAAAGCAUCCGAUUCUCCUUUUUCCUCCACUUGUGAAGUUUCUUUCCUCUUUCCAACUCUAUCCGAAUAUUUGGCAAAAGCUGCAGAAAGGGCAGACUUGACAGUAACUUCAGGUUCUUUCUUCCUUCGUUUGCUCACAUCGUCUACAUCGUCUUGCUUGUCUUCAAUCAAGGAGGAAGAUUCAGUAUUGUUCCUGAUCGAUGAGCCUGGACUAACUGGCUCAUGUUGAACAGAAGUAUCUGGAAUGGCCUGCCGGCUUGAGUCCACCCGUUUGAAAGGUUCAUGAAAAGUGUCAAACAAGCGC
Molecule: small RNA, 934 nt
Filed under: Vigna angularis var. angularis
Lineage: Eukaryota; Viridiplantae; Streptophyta; Magnoliopsida; Fabales; Fabaceae
Description: Non-protein coding transcript
Source: RNAcentral